Molecule: long non-coding RNA, 1055 nt
Organism: Oncorhynchus keta (chum salmon)
Lineage: Eukaryota; Metazoa; Chordata; Actinopteri; Salmoniformes; Salmonidae
Exons: 3
Source: RefSeq, a predicted model, not a curated record
AACAGUGUCUUCAAAAAUAGCCCCAGGGACAAUGCAUUAAGGACAUGAGGUAGGGGUUGGAGAGAUCAGAAAAUAGCCCCAGGGACAAUGCAUUAAGGACAUGAGGUAGGGGUUGGAGAGAUCAGAAAAUAGCCCCAGGGACAAUGCAUUAAGGACAUGAGGUAGGGGUUGGAGAGAUCAGAAAAUAGCCCCAGGGACAAUGCAUUAAGGACAUGAGGUAGGGGUUGGAGAGAUCAGAAAAUAGCCCCAGGGACAAUGCAUUAAGGACAUGAGGUAGGGGUUGGAGAGAUCAGAAAAUAGCCCCAGGGACAAUGCAUUAAGGACAUGAGGUAGGGGUUGGAGAGAUCAGAAAAUAGCCCCAGGGACAAUGCAUUAAGGACAUGAGGUAGGGGUUGGAGAGAUCAGAAAAUAGCCCCAGGGACAAUGCAUUAAGGACAUGAGGUAGGGGUUGGAGAGAUCAGAAAAUAGCCCCAGGGACAAUGCAUUAAGGACAUGAGGUAGGGGUUGGAGAGAUCAGAAAAUAGCCCCAGGGACAAUGCAUUAAGGACAUGAGGUAGGGGUUGGAGAGAUCAGAAAAUAGCCCCAGGGACAAUGCAUUAAGGACAUGAGGUAGGGGUUGGAGAGAUCAGAAAAUAGCCCCAGGGACAAUGCAUUAAGGACAUGAGGUAGGGGUUGGAGAGAUCAGAAAAUAGCCCCAGGGACAAUGCAUUAAGGACAUGAGGUAGGGGUUGGAGAGAUCAGAAAAUAGCCCCAGGGACAAUGCAUUAAGGACAUGAGGUAGGGGUUGGAGAGAUCAGAAAAUAGCCCCCGGAUGCUGCUGCGUAGCUACCUUCACAUCUCUUGUAAAGGAGAUACGUUUUACAACCCACAAAUUGUAACUAAGCGCGCAAGCUUAUUGAAGCAUAUGUGAACCGUUCACAGUAUGUUUUUAUUUGUGGGAUGUAACUAAUCUCCUUUAAAAGAUUGGCUGGGUGUCUGUAAGGUCUGUUUUAAUAGGCUGUGAGGUUGGUUGAGGUACCUGGCUGUGAUUGGUUAAAAUGUCUAUAAGGCCUGUG